AGCUGUUUCUAUUUGCUUCAGCAAAGGUUGUCAUUUAUAUCAACUAUGACAUCGAGUCAAUCAUCAUCAUACAUAGUGGAUGCAUUUCAAAUGGAAGCACCAACUUGUUGGUGUGGUUUGAAAGCACUACUAAAGACCUCCCAAACUAACAAAAAUCUAGGAAGAAAAUUUUAUGCUUGCUCGAAGUAUAAAAUGGGAGAAUCAAGUUGUCAAUUCUUCAUAUGGGCCGAUAUACUUCAAUUGAUAGAGGAGAAAUUUAUAACAAGAGAGAAUGCACUCCGAAAUGGAAAGGAUGAUUUAUUGUUGCGCGAGUAUGAGGUGUCGAGAAAAGAAGAUAAACUAAUACAAACAGAGAACAAUUUGAACAUCCAAAAGGAAGAAGUUCGAAGGCAGAUCGUAGAAAAUAGAUGUGGUCGUAUAUUAUUGUGUCUGUAUUGGGUUUGUUCUAUUGUAAUAGUUUUUGGUUUGUUCGGAUGAUAGAUGUAUCGACCCUUAUUGUAAUUGCAAAAUUUUCUAUGAAUAUUUUGUAAUUAUGGAAUGAUUUGCUUAUAGUAAUGGAUGUUAACUUUUU
This is a long non-coding RNA of Juglans microcarpa x Juglans regia, 571 nucleotides long. RefSeq lists it as uncharacterized. The transcript is spliced from 2 exons. The record is from RefSeq and is a predicted model, not a curated record. Lineage: Eukaryota; Viridiplantae; Streptophyta; Magnoliopsida; Fagales; Juglandaceae.